Molecule: long non-coding RNA, 418 nt
Organism: Ictalurus punctatus (channel catfish)
Lineage: Eukaryota; Metazoa; Chordata; Actinopteri; Siluriformes; Ictaluridae
Source: Ensembl
CCUAACUCAAACAAAUAGGUGGAAACAUGUUUACUAAGCUAUUGGGUAAAAUGUGAUGGACUGCUGUUUUGUUAAUCAGUACAACAAGGCUAGACUAACACAAGGGUUGGGAAGAGUGUGGCUCUGACCAAUCAUGGUGGUCACCCCAGGGUUCAGUAAUCUGUUUUCCUCUUUUGUAGUGAUUCUUGAAAAUUCUGAUGAAAGGGAUAAUGCAAGAAGAAAACAGAAACGGAUAUGGUCUCCGACAGAAAUUGCUGCAGUACUGAGGCAUUUCCGGGACCACGUUGCAAGGGGUAAACUGGCUAGUAAAAUUGAAUGCCAACAGUGCAAGACUGCUGAGCAUCCUGCUUUGGCUAAUCGUUCUCUGCAAAAUAUAAGAGACUUUGUUAGGAAUCGGGGCUUAACACUAAAAAAAAAA